This 438-nucleotide ribosomal RNA is filed under the name uncultured bacterium. Its description in RNAcentral is "bacterial SSU rRNA". It matches the Rfam family "Bacterial small subunit ribosomal RNA", at positions 30 to 504 of the family's 1533-position model. The record is from RNAcentral.
CGAACGCUGGCGGCGUGCCUAACACAUGCAAGUCGAACGAUAUAGUGGCGAACGGGUGAGUAACACGUAAGCAACCUACCCCUAAGACCGGGACAACCAGUCGAAAGAUUGGCUAAUACCGGAUGUGACUACCGGGAGACAUCUCCUGGUAAUUAAAUCUAGCAAUAGGCUUAAGGAUGGGCUUGCGUUCUAUCAGCUAGUUGGUGAGGUAAUGGCUCACCAAGGCAAUGACGGAUAGCUGGUCUGAGAGGAUGACCAGUCACAAGGGAACUGAGACACGGUCCCUACUCCUACGGGAGGCAGCAGUGAGGAAUUUUCCGCAAUGGGCGAAAGCCUGACGGAGCGACGCCGUGUGUGGGAUGAAGUUUUUCGGAACGUAAACCACUGUCAGAUGGGAAGAUAUUGACGGUACCAUCAGAGGAAGGCCCGGCUAACUAC